Non-coding RNA from Trametes gibbosa, 87 nucleotides. The record is from the annotation of a GenBank genome assembly. Lineage: Eukaryota; Fungi; Basidiomycota; Agaricomycetes; Polyporales; Polyporaceae.
UCCCGCUUAGCUCAGCUGGUAGAGCGCGUCACUAGUAUCCCCGGACACGAGAUGACGAGGUCAGUCGUUCAAGUCGGCUAGCGGGAA